GGGGUCGUGGUCUAGACAGGUAUGACGUUGGGCUCCAGACCCAAAUGCCGGGGGUUCAAAUCCUCCCGACCCCACCA
RNAcentral lists this transfer RNA (77 nucleotides) under Candidatus Bathyarchaeota archaeon. RNAcentral's name for it is "tRNA-Trp". It matches the Rfam family "tRNA". Rfam says of the family: Transfer RNA (tRNA) molecules are approximately 80 nucleotides in length. Their secondary structure includes four short double-helical elements and three loops (D, anti-codon, and T loops). The record is from RNAcentral. RNAcentral also lists the same sequence under 1 other name. Lineage: Archaea; Thermoproteati; Candidatus Bathyarchaeota.